Long non-coding RNA from Acyrthosiphon pisum (pea aphid), 1786 nucleotides. RefSeq lists it as uncharacterized. The record is from RefSeq and is a predicted model, not a curated record. Lineage: Eukaryota; Metazoa; Arthropoda; Insecta; Hemiptera; Aphididae. The transcript is spliced from 5 exons.
UGUUAUACGUGUACGUGUGUCUGCAAUCAACCGCAUGUGGAUUGCCUACUUAAUUUGCUGUCGCACAUUGUCCGCGAUCUGACGUAGCUGUAUUGCACACCAGAGUGGCUGAGUUGCACUUACUGCAGCGAUUUACACCCAAAAGGAGAUGAACAAUCACAAUUGAUAAACGAAAUCUAUUUACAAAAUAUUUAUUUUAACAUUUUGGUAGGUAACGAUAUUAGUUUGAGUGGUAAAUAAACUAUUAUUUUAUGUUGAACAGUACUUUUUGUGUAUUGAUGAGGUGUAGAUAGCAUAUAAAGCAGUCGAGAUAUAAUAAUUUAUUCAAUUCAUCGUUUAAUAUUCACAUAAGUUUUAUAAUAUUCUUAUAUUAAUUCAAAAUGACUUUUUUAAAGGAUAGUUUAAUUACGCUUACCAUUCUAGUAAUUUCAAUUCGUGUUAUGCAAGCUACUUCAACUGAUGACUUAAAAGAAUUAAAAGGGUAUUGUCGAGAUAUACUUAAAAUAAUUGGAUACGAAGAUGAUAAAGGAGAUCACCAAAAAAUAGAUAGCACAGGUAUAUUAUGUAUUUGAAACUAAAUAAUUAAUUCAAUUUUAAAUAUCAAAUAUCGAGAUUCGUGUCUGUAUACAUUUCUCUAAUUAAUGUAUACUGCAAUCUUAAGUGGCAUAACCUGUUUAUUUUAAACAUCUCUAAUGAAAGAGGAAUCAUACAUUUAAAAAUACUUUUAAGAGGAUCUCACAACCACAUAGGCGCAAAAAGCGUUUAGAUUUGAGGGGGGGGGGGGCUAAUAGGGCUAAUAGGGCCUUACUUUUAUAAUAUUGAAUAAGCUUAAAAGAAAAUGUAGGAAAUGUUUGGGAGGGCUAUGGACAUUUUUGAGGGGGCUUAAGCCCCUAGAGCCCCCCCCCCUAUUUGCGCCUAUGCACAACCACAUGUGUUGUCUCCGUCGUACACACGUACAACAUAGACAUAACGCGUUUAUGCAGUCCGCGUAUAAUUCGCUCAAUUUUGGUUCUAGAGUAAAAAUACCUAUUAUAAAACCUAUUAUUACCUACUAUUACCUAUUAUUGAAUUGUGACGAUAUUUAUGAGGGCCUAACGGUGCGCUUUUUCCUUUAUUCCUGUAGUGAGAUAAAAAUAAAAAAAAAUAGAAAAAAAAAUAAAACAUGGGGAAGUCGGGGAAGUGCGGAGUAAUGCGGCAAAUUACAAAGGGUAUGAGAAACUAGGAUGGUACGCAUAUCGGCACUUAUAUUACAUUACCUUUAUCCUACUACAGAAUAUUAUUAGUCGAGUACGGAGUUGAGUGUAAAAUAUAUGUGUGUUCACUUACCUCGUAUAGCUGUGAAAAGUACUCGUUGAUCCUUGUUGGAAUGGAUAUAUCUCUAAUUGGUGUGGAUCGAUGCACGUUACUAUUAUUUUACGACUUGUAUUACAAUAUCUUAUACCAGUUAUAAGUUCAUAUUUUGCCUAUACACUGUCGACUCUUUGUACUAAUAAUUAACUACCACCUGUGUGUCUACUAUGUUUCCCUUUUUUUAUUUAGUUUAUCCUAAUUUAUUUUAUUUAACAUUUGGAACUGAGUAUUGGGAGUAUUGCAGUUGGGAGUUUUUGUAUAGAAUAUACCUUAGUAAUUUAAUGACAUGUAAGGAUUGUUCAGGUAGUGUAGUAAAUAAUAAUGACAUGUUUUGUGGUUAAUGGAUAAUACAAUGAAUAAACUAAAAAUGAACCCAUACCUGGUGUUAGAACAAACGCAAUAGUUAACUUCACGGAGAAAGAUUAAUUUCAAAUUA